RNAcentral lists this unclassified non-coding RNA (344 nucleotides) under Demospongiae sp. GW41396. RNAcentral's name for it is "sequence contains 28S rRNA gene". Lineage: Eukaryota; Metazoa; Porifera; Demospongiae. The record is from RNAcentral.
ACGAAUGCGGCUGAAGUGGCUCCUCGUCAGGCUCAGGAGACGUCGUGCGGGUUCGUUCCGCGGCCCGCCGACUACUCUGCACUUCUGCGGGGAGCCGGCCAACGGCAGUUGUCCCCGGCCCAGGAGGGCGUUGGGGUAGGUGGCUCCGCGCUCGCGUGGAGAACUUAUAGCCCGGCGUCUGGACGUUCCGGUGGCGACUGAGGAGAGUUGCGAGUCUUCGCACGUUGCAGCGCAGGCCUCCCCCGAGGCUGGGCCGCUCUCGUCCGGCUGGCGGCCGAGGCUGUCACUGCGUGCAGUGGCGGCUUACGGCGUCUGCUUUCCGGGUGGGAGGUCGGUCGCACCUU